GGAGAACCGGGAAAGCCUGAAGCAGAACUCAGGCAAGGAGCAGAACGGUAACACCAGCAAUGGAACCAACGACUACAUAGGCAGUGUAGAGAAAUGGCGUUAAAUGGCUCAAAAAGGCCUGCACAUACUUCUCCCAAAGCGCCACUGAAAAGAUGGCAUAGUUUAAAAGAUGAAAGUGUCCAAACACAUCCUGCUUCCUUCAUUGGGGAAGUUAAAAAAAGAAAAGUUUAGAUGUUGCCUUUACAGUUGCCUUUCAAUUCAGUGUUAUACUGUGCGUGGGUAAAACAAAUCUCAAUAUGGAAUUAAAUUGUCUUUUUGGGGUUGGACUAUUUAUGAAAUCCGAAAGCCAAGCCAGACUCACCAGAAAUUGCUGUUUAGAUAUUUUAAGAAGUUCUUAAAUUAGUCAUGGAGACAAAAUGAAAACAUAAAAUGUGACCAUUUAACUUAUGGCUAAGAAAUGGACUUUUUAAAUUAUUCAUGAUACACUGUUAAAACCCAGUCUUGGAUUCAAACAUUUUUUCCAGGGGUGAGAAUAAGUAUAAACAUAAAGCGACUAAAAUGAAAUAUAAAACCUUUUGUUUUCUUCUGAUUUUAACAAGGAAUCUAUUUAAAUAGAAUAACAACUGAUGGUGAAUCUUACUAAGCUGUAGAAAAUAAAAAAUUCCUCUCCAAACAUGAGUAGUUUUAUGUCAAAAUAUUGGCUUUUCAAGAACAGGACUCAUAUCUUGAUAUUUAAGAGAUGUUUAAAAUUUAAAACUUUUUCUACCUUCUACUGUUUAAAAGUUUUAAACAGGGUGUAUCUCACAUUUAACAAAACAUCUUUUUUUUUUUUUUUUUCAAAAUGAAAUACCAAUGUAAAGAUCUAAUUUCCAGGCGCUUUCAGGGCACUGUAAUUUCAACAAUAUUGGAAUCAUUUUGGCACUGCUUCCCAUUCAUUUUAAGGCUUCUCUGAAUUGUGCUCAUUCCAAAUUAACCCAUGUAUAGAAUCUUUCUUCAUCAUCUAAAUGGUGUGUUGCUGAGUUUGUUGUGGUAUAUAAUCCUGGAUUAAAGUCAGGACUUUCUUUCUAUAGAAUUAUUUUAUCAAUAUUCGUGUAGUGAGGUCCUAAUCAAGAAACUUGAACAGGAUAAUGUGUCUAAAAAUAUUGCUGAAGUUAUUCUUGAUCAGAUAGAAUUUAACCUAAAAUGUGAACUCUUAGAUUUGUAGACAAUUACAAAAGCCAAAAAAGGAUAAAAUAAGCAUUAGGAAGGCUAGCCAGAGUUAUUCAAUAGCACCUUGAUAAUGUGGGCAAACCCUUCUACGAAAUUUUUGUUUUGAAAGAGCAAAAGUAAAAACUGUUAUGUAGUGAGGUUACAUAUCAGGAACAUAAUAGUUGAGCAGAGUGAUUUGGUAGUGUGAGUUGAUGCAAAAAUACUUCUAUGGUAUCAAUUACAAACUGACCAAGAUAAAAAGAAGUAUGUGACCCACCGUGCUGUCAAGCAUCAUGAUUCCUGGCAGUUUUCAUUUUACUAUGGAUUUUGCUAUACUUAUGCAAUGACUUAUACUAACCUCCUGGCUGUAAAUCAAACAAGGUGACUGAAAGUGGCAUUUAUGUUUUCAGAAGGGACACGCUGAGAAGUGUGACCAUGAAGUUAUAUCUUUUACAAUCUGCUCAUGUGUUUCUUCUGUAGUAAUAUAGCCACAAACUGGACAAUAAGCUGGGUAUUUGGGUUUAAAAUGGAUUUUCUUGACUCUGAGCUUGUAUCGCUAUUUCUAGCUUUUGUUUUGUCUGACAGUAUUGCAAUCCUGAAAAUCCUGAGAGCUAAAAAACUGAAAGGAAGUUUUUAAAAACUACACUUUGAAGUCACAGUGUUUUAGAGUAAAACUAUUUUGUGUACAAUUGUGUUUUUAAAAUAGUUAGUAGAUCACUAUGAUAUUUCAAUUUUCUUUAGUUUUAAUUGAAAAUGUUUGCUUUUAAAACUGAUAGGUACUGUUGGAAAGCAGGAUGAAGCCUGAGCCAGUGGAAGAACUUGUUACAGAAAAAACAUUUUGUGUUAUUGCUGUGGUGUGCAUGAUUUGCAAAGACUAAGUGCAUUUUCUCCGUCUAUACUGAUUAUUGUAUAUAGAGGAUGUUAUAAAUAUACACUUUUGCCAUUAUGUAAAUCCCAUGAUUUCAACUGUAAACAUCUGUCCAUUGGUGUAGCUUUACAAACCAUUCACUGAUUUUGUGCAAUUUAACAAUAGAUAUGAAAUAAAGUUUAAAUU
This 2242-nucleotide long non-coding RNA is filed under the name Macaca fascicularis (crab-eating macaque). Its description in RNAcentral is "lncRNA (ENSMFAG00000051786.1)". The record is from RNAcentral. Lineage: Eukaryota; Metazoa; Chordata; Mammalia; Primates; Cercopithecidae.